CACAAGGCUCCAAGCAACAAAAACCCAAAGAAUUUCUCGUGGGCAAAAACCCAAACAACUUUUUCUAUGUGCCUUCCCCACGCACACUCCCUUCCGUCCUGCUCAAGUCGCGUUUGAAUCAUUCCAUAUUUUCCAUUCCUCCAUUCGAUUCGGUUCAACCUCCUCUCCCCGAAGGCACCCAAACCCUAGGGACCCGGGGGCGAAGCCAGCCAGACAGCCAGCCAUGGGGUGCGCGCAGGGCAAGUGCUGCGGCGGCGGAGGAGAAGGAGUCGCGGAACGAGAAGGAGUAGGCGGCGUGCCUGGUGGAGGGCGCGGCGGCGGCGGCGCUACCACCCUCGGGCGCGCGGCGGUGCCGGGGGCGGGGCUGGUGCUGGAGUACGCGACGCUGGCGGUGGACGGGCUGUACCCGGACGCGCCGGGGCGGGAGUCGCAGGACGCGCACCUCGUGGCCACGCGCUUCGCGGGUGACCCCGAUCUCCACCUCUUCGCCGUCUUCGACGGCCACGGCGCCUGCGGGGCCGCCUGCGCGCAGUUCGCGCGCGAGGCGCUCCCGCGGCUCCUCCUCCUCCCCCGCCUCGCGGCGGACCCCGCGGGCGCGUUCCGGGAGGCCAUGACGGCGGCCAACGAGGAGAUGCACGCGGCGGGGGGCGUGGACGACUCCAUGAGCGGGACCACCGCCGUGGCGGCGCUGGUGGCCGGGGGCGCGCUCCACGUGGCCAACGUCGGGGACUCGCGCGCCGUGGCCGGGGUCUGGCGCGACGGGCGCGUCGCGGCGGAGGAGCUGUCCUGGGACCAGACGCCGUUCCGCGCCGACGAGCGCGCGCGCGUCAAGGCGUGCGGGGCGAGGGUCAUGUCGGUCGAGCAGGUGGAGGGCGUGCGCGACCCGGACGCCGAGGGCUGGCUCGCCGACGAGGGGGACCCGCCCCGCGUGUGGGCACGCGACGGGCUCUACCCCGGCACGGCCUUCACCCGCAGCCUCGGCGACCUCGCCGCUGAGGGGGUUGGGGUCAUCGCCGAGCCUGAGGUGAAGAGCGUGGAGAUCACUCCAGCCCACCUGUUCUUCGUCGUCGCCAGUGAUGGGGUGUUCGAGUUCCUCUCCAGCCAGGAAGUCGUUGACAUGGUGGCUAUGCACAAAGAUCCCCGAGAUGCCUGUUCAGCAAUCGCUGCAGAGUCAUACAAACUAUGGCUGGAACAUGAAAACAGGACAGAUGAUAUAACAAUAAUAAUUGUGCAUAUACGGGAUGCUGAAAAUUCAGGUCCUGCAGGGAGUGACAAAGCUAACUACAGCGGCACGGGAGCGCCGAUAGCAUUGCACACGGUACAAUCAGGGCUACCUACAUUUGUACCGUCAGAAGUAUAUCACCUUAACGGAGGUGCUGCUACGGAACUACCGCAAUCCUCUUCUGGCUCUCCAUCGGAACGACGUCUCUCCUGUGUUGCUCCUUCACCUACACACCUUUUGUUAGGAGGUGAUAAAGCAUCAGAAGCAUCCAGGCCAACACAAACUGAGAGAGCUGUGCACAUGGUACAAUCAGAGCUACCUGUAUUUGUACCGUCAGAAACAUAUCACCUGAGCGGAGGUGCAGCUACUGAACUACAGCCAUCGUCUUCUGGCUCUCCAUCAGAACGAUGCCUCUCCUCCACUGCUCCUUCAUCUCCACACCUUUUGUUCAGAGGCAGUAAAUCAUCAGAAGUAUUCAAGCCGACACAAACCGAGAGAGCUGCACCGCAAGCAGUGGAAGCUUGACUUCAAAGUGAGCCCUUUAACAUAAAUCUCACAAAGGAAGCAGCAGCCCGACCAAUCGUCACCCUACGUAAGGUGACCUCGUCAGCCGCGGAUGUCAUGCUGGCUAACAGUGCUUGUUCUGCACCGGUCCCAAGGCUCGGUGCCGUUGCUCGUGUUUUCUUAGAGCGACUGCUGGCUGACAACACAGAAGGUUCUGACCCAAACAGGGCAGUUUAACUGUGGAUUGAUUGGCUUUUCAACAUGUGGCGAUCGAGCGCCGCUAAGCGUUUGGUCCAGGAUGGAGUUCAGUUUACUUGUAUUAUUUCUUAACUAUACUAUAUUAUUACAAGAUAUUAAUAAGUUGAUGCUUGCCGUAAUAUGGUGUGGCCUGCAGUGAAGUGCAGCUGCCACAACGAACAUUUGACGCUUUCUUUUACCGAUAGGAGGGGUUCUUUUUUAGUUGAAUAUCAGCUGCUUUUUAGUGUUUACUGAACAAACACGUUUGCUUUACAUGCUUAUGGUUGGCAGAUUCCAUCUCCACAAGAGAGUAAUAAUUAUCCGUCUUGAUGGCA
Brachypodium distachyon (stiff brome) is the source of this 2298-nucleotide RNA transcript. It is a transcript of the gene named probable protein phosphatase 2C 65, with no coding region annotated. Lineage: Eukaryota; Viridiplantae; Streptophyta; Magnoliopsida; Poales; Poaceae. The transcript is spliced from 5 exons. The record is from RefSeq and is a predicted model, not a curated record.